This 186-nucleotide ribosomal RNA is filed under the name uncultured Scutellospora. RNAcentral describes it as "partial 18S ribosomal RNA". It matches the Rfam family "Eukaryotic small subunit ribosomal RNA", at positions 569 to 766 of the family's 1831-position model. Lineage: Eukaryota; Fungi; Glomeromycota; Glomeromycetes; Diversisporales; Gigasporaceae. The record is from RNAcentral.
AGCAGCCGCGGUAAUUCCAGCUCCAAUAGUGUAUAUUAAAGUUGCUGCGGUUAAAAAGCUCGUAGUUGGAUUUCGGAAUGCGUCGUGCCAAAGGUCGUCCUUGUGGCGUGCCUGGGUGCUCGCUUCCUAGCUUCGGGGUUCCAAGGCUCAGCAAUGGGUCUUCCCGAUCAUUUACUUUGAAAAAAU